GAGUUAGUGGCGCACGGGUGAGUAAUGUAUAGCUAAUCUGCCCUACACUAGAGGACAACAGUUGGAAACGACUGCUAAUACUCUAUACUCCUAUCUAACAUAAGUUAGGUAGGGAAAGUUUUUCGGUGUAGGAUGAGGCUAUAUUGUAUCAGCUAGUUGGUGAGGUAAUGGCUCACCAAGGCUAUGACGCAUAACUGGUCUGAGAGGAUGAUCAGUCACACUGGAACUGAGACACGGUCCAGACUCCUACGGGAGGCAGCAGUAGGGAAUAUUGCUCAAUGGGGGAAACCCUGAAGCAGCAACGCCGCGUGGAGGAUGACACUUUUCGGAGCGUAAACUCCUUUUGUUAGGGAAGAACAAUGACGGUACCUAACGAAUAAGCACCGGCUAACUCCGUGCCAGCAGCCGCC
This 410-nucleotide ribosomal RNA is filed under the name Campylobacter concisus. Its description in RNAcentral is "bacterial SSU rRNA". It matches the Rfam family "Bacterial small subunit ribosomal RNA", at positions 89 to 519 of the family's 1533-position model. Lineage: Bacteria; Pseudomonadati; Campylobacterota; Epsilonproteobacteria; Campylobacterales; Campylobacteraceae. The record is from RNAcentral.